This is a long non-coding RNA of Corvus hawaiiensis (hawaiian crow), 560 nucleotides long. RefSeq lists it as uncharacterized. The transcript is spliced from 2 exons. NCBI's taxonomy places the organism in Eukaryota, Metazoa, Chordata, Aves, Passeriformes, Corvidae. The record is from RefSeq and is a predicted model, not a curated record.
GGCACUGGGGUGUCCCUUGUCCCCAGGAACACUGCGGGUGUCCCAUGUCCCACUGCGGUGUCCUGUGUCCCUUGUCCCUGAGGGUGCCAAGGUGUCCCUUGUCCCUGGUGGCACCACAGCAUCCCCUGGGUCCCAAAGGCCACCAGAGUGUCCCAUGUCCCUGAGGAACAACAGUGUCCCAUGUCCAGUCCAUACCAAUGUCCCAUAUCCCAAAGGCCACCAGAGUGUCCCAUGUCCCUGAAGGCCACCAGAGUUUCCCACAUCCCCGAGGGCCACCAGAGUGUCCCAUGUCCCGGUCAAUACCCAUGUCCCAUGUCCCAAAGGCCACCACAUUUCCUAUGUCCCUGAGAGCCCCCAGAGUGUCCCAUGUCCCUGAGAGCCACCAGAGUGUCCCAUGUCCCAAAAACCACCAGUGUCCCAUGUCCCUGAGGGCCACCAGAGUGUCCCAUGUCCCAAAAACCACCAGUGUCCCAUGUCCCUGAGGGCCACCAGAGUGUCCCAUGUCCCAAAAACCACCAGUGUCCCAUGUCCCUGAGGGCCACCAGAGUGUCCCAUGUCCC